GUAGUUUCGUUACGAAGACAGGUAAUGGUUUCGUUGUGAGUAUUUGUUUACAUCUAGCGUGGCAUGCAUAUGCGGUUUACAAAUUUUAAUAUAUUUUGCUUUUUUUCGGUGUGGAUCUUUGGAUAGUUAAAGAGAAAUGAAUCUUAUGUGCAGCUAUUGUGACUCUACAUUUGAGAACAUAAAAGGCACAGUGUGUCAUUGUGUUGAGGAUCACCCGGCAGAAAAGGUGUCCUACAUGUGGAAGUCGAUUGACGGGAGGAGUAAUCGCCAAAGGACAUACAAUGUAUUGGGGUCUAAUGUUACCGGCAAAGAAAUCAGUUUUGAUCUGGGAAAAUGAUAGUACCUACCAAAUCUUCAGCCAGCGAAAACUACACAAAAUCAACACACCAUCAAAAUCAGUUCAUCGUCAGUAAUAAUCACAAUUAGAAGUCGACCAAGAACAUGUCGAAAACUUAUCUUCAACUGAGGCACCCGAUUCAGUUGCUGAGUUAUCGGAACUGUUGGACACCACAGUGUUAUAUUCGGAUUCAGAGCCCGACAUUGAGGAGUAUGAACUAAUGGAAAAUGCAAAUGACAUCCCUGAUGACGUAAUGGCGGACACACAAACUGUACAAAUGGUAGUUCAGCAACUUAAAACGUUAUUGUCGUCUGUUACCGCUCAUUUAGCUGAUUGUGGUCGUUUACAUGAAUGGAUGAAUAUCUUUCAUUUGACUGACUCUGGAGAUUUUAGUGUAAAGCACAUUGCAGCCCAGUUGUUUCUAGAUGUCAUAGAGUUUUCAAGCCUAGAAGAUGUGCGGCUAAUGAGAUACACUCCUGAAGUGAGACAGUUUUGCACAGUCGGACAGGCGCUGUUUAAAUCUAAGUUUCUGCGAUUCAUGGGAGGAUACAAUGUGUUUUCAGGAGCAAUUGCGCAUGGAGACAGUGACAAUAAAUCAAUGACAAAGUCUGAUAUUAACAUGAUAAAUUUUGUUUGUCCAAACAAGGAUGUAUUAAAGGAAGAGAUGAUUUCGGAUAAAAAAUAGAGUGGCAUAUCAACAAGAUUUAAACACGUGAAAUGGAUGAAGUAACUACAUAUUUGUAUUCAAAUCAAUGCAAAAAGUUACCAAGACGAAUGCUUUUAAGUGAAACUUAAACAGACGAGAAUGAAUCAUCUUUCCCUAAUGUUAAACACAACAAAUUAAACAAAUUAUAUUAAAGGUCUGCACACAUGCAUAAUUAUUAUCUAAUGGCUUCAGAAGAAAACCUAGACAUAUUCUGUUAAUGUCUUCAAUAGAAAACCCAUACCUAAUGCAGUGACUUGGAGAGAAAACUCUUCUCAUUUCUUAUAAACACGACCGAAUAUUAAAGGCAAUUUUUGUAGGAAUAGAGGCAUAAAAUCAAAUGAAAAACAUGUACAGUCGAAAAGUAUGUUGAACUCGUUUUCAAACGCUGAAAGUAUAAGCACAAUAAUUACAUUUAAUAACGGAUGCUUGUGUUUAUCAUGAAUUUGCUGUAUAAAACCACACAUUCAAAAAGAAACUGUCUGCUUUUAUUCAACACACGAUCAAACAACUGCAACUUAGUCAUAUGUUUGCUUUGCUAACAAAUGGUAAAGAUUUA
Long non-coding RNA from Mercenaria mercenaria, 1599 nucleotides. RefSeq lists it as uncharacterized. The transcript has 2 exons. The record is from RefSeq and is a predicted model, not a curated record. Lineage: Eukaryota; Metazoa; Mollusca; Bivalvia; Venerida; Veneridae.